This 1493-nucleotide ribosomal RNA is filed under the name metagenome. RNAcentral's name for it is "bacterial SSU rRNA". It matches the Rfam family "Bacterial small subunit ribosomal RNA". The record is from RNAcentral.
AGAGUUUGAUCCUGGCUCAGGAUGAACGCUGGCGGCGUGCUUAACACAUGCAAGUCGAACGAAGCACUUUAUUUGAUUUCCUUCGGGACUGAUUAUUUUGUGACUGAGUGGCGGACGGGUGAGUAACGCGUGGGUAACCUGCCUUGUACAGGGGGAUAACAGUUGGAAACGGCUGCUAAUACCGCAUAAGCGCACAGCAUCACAUGAUGCAGUGUGAAAAACUCCGGUGGUAUAAGAUGGACCCGCGUUGGAUUAGCUAGUUGGUGAGGUAACGGCCCACCAAGGCGACGAUCCAUAGCCGACCUGAGAGGGUGACCGGCCACAUUGGGACUGAGACACGGCCCAAACUCCUACGGGAGGCAGCAGUGGGGAAUAUUGCACAAUGGGCGAAAGCCUGAUGCAGCGACGCCGCGUGAGCGAAGAAGUAUUUCGGUAUGUAAAGCUCUAUCAGCAGGGAAGAUAAUGACGGUACCUGACUAAGAAGCACCGGCUAAAUACGUGCCAGCAGCCGCGGUAAUACGUAUGGUGCAAGCGUUAUCCGGAUUUACUGGGUGUAAAGGGAGCGCAGGCGGUGCGGCAAGUCUGAUGUGAAAGCCCGGGGCUCAACCCCGGUACUGCAUUGGAAACUGUCGUACUAGAGUGUCGGAGGGGUAAGCGGAAUUCCUAGUGUAGCGGUGAAAUGCGUAGAUAUUAGGAGGAACACCAGUGGCGAAGGCGGCUUACUGGACGAUAACUGACGCUGAGGCUCGAAAGCGUGGGGAGCGAACAGGAUUAGAUACCCUGGUAGUCCACGCCGUAAACGAUGAAUGCUAGGUGUAGGAGGUAUCGACCCCUUCUGUGCCGGAGUUAACGCAAUAAGCAUUCCGCCUGGGGAGUACGGCCGCAAGGCUGAAACUCAAAGGAAUUGACGGGGGCCCGCACAAGCGGUGGAGUAUGUGGUUUAAUUCGACGCAACGCGAAGAACCUUACCAGGGCUUGACAUUGAGUGAAAGGACAAGAGAUUGUCCCCUCUCUUCGGAGACACGAAAACAGGUGGUGCAUGGCUGUCGUCAGCUCGUGUCGUGAUAUGUUGGGUUAAGUCCCGCAACGAGCGCAACCCCUAUUCUUUGUUGCCAGCACGUAAUGGUGGGAACUCAAAGGAGACUGCCGCGGACAACGCGGAGGAAGGCGGGGAUGACGUCAAGUCAUCAUGCCCCUUAUGUCCUGGGCUACACACGUACUACAAUGGGAUGGACAGAGAGCAGCGAAGCCGCGAGGCCAAGCGAACCCCAUAAACCAUCUCCCAGUUCGGAUUGCAGGCUGCAACCCGCCUGCAUGAAGUUGGAAUCGCUAGUAAUCGCAGGUCAGCAUACUGCGGUGAAUACGUUCCCGGGCCUUGUACACACCGCCCGUCACACCACGGAAGUCAUUCACACCCGAAGCCGGCAGGCUAACCUUUUGGAGGCAGCCGUCUAAGGUGGGGGCGAUGACUGGGGUGAAGUCGUAACAAGGUA